RNAcentral lists this ribosomal RNA (301 nucleotides) under uncultured bacterium. Its description in RNAcentral is "partial 16S ribosomal RNA". It matches the Rfam family "Bacterial small subunit ribosomal RNA", at positions 509 to 807 of the family's 1533-position model. The record is from RNAcentral.
CAGCAGCCGCGGUAAUACGUAGGUGGCAAGCGUUGUCCGGAAUUAUUGGGCGUAAAGGGCUCGCAGGCGGUUUCUUAAGUCUGAUGUGAAAGCCCCCGGCUCAACCGGGGAGGGUCAUUGGAAACUGGGAAACUUGAGUGCAGAAGAGGAGAGUGGAAUUCCACGUGUAGCGGUGAAAUGCGUAGAGAUGUGGAGGAACACCAGUGGCGUAGGCGACUCUCUGGUCUGUAACUGACGCUGAGGAGCGAAAGCGUGGGGAGCGAACAGGAUUAGAUACCCGGGUAGUCCCUGUCUCUUAUAC